RNAcentral lists this non-coding RNA (148 nucleotides) under Homo sapiens (human). The record is from Rfam by way of RNAcentral. Lineage: Eukaryota; Metazoa; Chordata; Mammalia; Primates; Hominidae.
CCUGGGCAUGGUGGUGCAUGCCUGUAAUCCCAGCUACUCGGGAGGCUGAGGCAGGAGAAUUGCUUGAACCUGGGAGGCAGAGGUUGUAGUGAGCCGAGAUUGCACCACUGCACUCCAGCCUAGGUGACAGAGCAAGAUUCUGUCUCAA